Molecule: transfer RNA, 75 nt
Filed under: Alphaproteobacteria bacterium
Lineage: Bacteria; Pseudomonadati; Pseudomonadota; Alphaproteobacteria
Description: tRNA-Val
Rfam family: tRNA
About the family: Transfer RNA (tRNA) molecules are approximately 80 nucleotides in length.
Source: RNAcentral
GGGUGGUUAGCUCAGCGGUAGAGCUUCUCGUUUACACCGAGGAGGUCGGGGGUUCGAAUCCCUCACCACCCACCA